UACUACUAUUUGGACAAAAGAUGUCAACUAAUAUCCAUUAUCUAGAGAUGAGUGCCCCAAACAUGCUUUUGUUCACACUCCCUUCUCCGCGGCUUUCCACGUCAACUCCAGGCUGCCUGGAGGCCCUGGAGUGGCAUUGGCCAUGCUAAGAAGAAUGAUACAGGAAAGAAGGAGAAGAGAUCCAUUGUCAUUUCAGAAGAGAAAGUAGGUCCCAUGCAAACUCAACUUCUUUCAGAACUGAUUGACACAUCAAUUGUGAAAAUUAUGGAAACUGUAGUUAAAGACGAAGAAAAUAAAAAUCAAAACAAAUGCCGUCACCUAAUGAUAACAACUGUUAAU
RNAcentral lists this long non-coding RNA (339 nucleotides) under Equus asinus (donkey). Its description in RNAcentral is "lncRNA (ENSEASG00005027883.1)". The record is from RNAcentral. Lineage: Eukaryota; Metazoa; Chordata; Mammalia; Perissodactyla; Equidae.